UCKCCGCCCGCGACUCGGCGAGAAGUCCAUUAAACCUUAUCAUUUAGAGGAAGGAGAAGUCGUAACAAGGUUUCCGUAGGUGAACCUGCGGAAGGAUCAUUG
Molecule: ribosomal RNA, 102 nt
Filed under: Oncidium rhynchanthum
Lineage: Eukaryota; Viridiplantae; Streptophyta; Magnoliopsida; Asparagales; Orchidaceae
Description: partial 18S ribosomal RNA
Rfam family: Eukaryotic small subunit ribosomal RNA
Source: RNAcentral